AGCGGAGCGUGUGGUUUAAUUCGAUGCAACGCGAAGAACUUACCAAGGCUUGACAUGCCAGAAUAGGAAACUCGAAAGAGAGACCACCUGUAUCCAGUCAGGAACUGGCACAGGUGCUGCAUGGCUGUCGUCAGCUCGUGCCGUGAGGUGUUAGGUUAAGUCCUGCAACGAGCGCAACCCUCGUCGCUAGUUGUUUUCUCUAGCGAUACUGCCCGUAUAACGUGGAGGAAGGUGGGGAUGACGUCAAGUCAGCAUGGCCCUUACAUCCUGGGCUACACACACGCUACAAUGGGUGAUACAACAGGUUGCAAUAGAGUAAUCUGGAGCCAAUCCCUAAAAUCAUCCUCAGUACGGAUUGCAGGCUGCAACUGCCUGCAUGAAGUUGGAGUUGCUAGUAAACGCAGGUCAGCACACUGCGUUGAAUACGUUCUCGGGCCUU
Molecule: ribosomal RNA, 439 nt
Filed under: uncultured Chloroflexota bacterium
Lineage: Bacteria; Bacillati; Chloroflexota
Description: bacterial SSU rRNA
Rfam family: Bacterial small subunit ribosomal RNA
Source: RNAcentral